CUAAGGUAGCGAAAUUCCUUGUCGGGUAAGUUCCGACCUGCACGAAUGGCGUAACGACUUCCCCACUGUCUCCAACAUCAACUCAGCGAAAUUGAAUUCUCCGUGAAGAUGCGGAGUACCCGCGGUCAGACGGAAAGACCCCGUGCACCUUUACUACAGCUUCACACUGGUAUUCGUCACGACAUGUGUAGGAUAGGUGGUAGACGUUGAAGCAGGAGCGCCAGCUCUUGUGGAGUCACCCUUGAAAUACCACCCUUGUCGUCAUGGAUAUCUAACCGCGGUACAACAAUAUCCGGGACCGUGUGUGGCGGGUAGUUUGACUGGGGCGGGCGCC
This 334-nucleotide ribosomal RNA is filed under the name Pseudo-nitzschia fraudulenta. Its description in RNAcentral is "partial Bacterial large subunit ribosomal RNA". It matches the Rfam family "Bacterial large subunit ribosomal RNA", at positions 1951 to 2287 of the family's 2925-position model. Lineage: Eukaryota; Bacillariophyta; Bacillariophyceae; Bacillariales; Bacillariaceae. The record is from RNAcentral.